This 460-nucleotide ribosomal RNA is filed under the name uncultured bacterium. RNAcentral's name for it is "partial 16S ribosomal RNA". It matches the Rfam family "Bacterial small subunit ribosomal RNA", at positions 338 to 795 of the family's 1533-position model. The record is from RNAcentral.
CCUACGGGAGGCAGCAGUGAGGAAUAUUGGUCAAUGGGCGGGAGCCUGAACCAGCCAAGUCGCGUGAGGGAUGACGGUCCUAUGGAUUGUAAACCUCUUUAGGCAGGGAGCAAUGGGGUGCACGCGUGGGCGGAGGGAGAGUACCUGAAGAAAAAGCAUCGGCUAACUCCGUGCCAGCAGCCGCGGUAAUACGGAGGAUGCGAGCGUUAUCCGGAUUUAUUGGGUUUAAAGGGUGCGUAGGCGGAAUAUCAAGUCAGCGGUAAAAUGUCGGGGCUCAACCCGGUCCUGCCGUUGAAACUGGUGUUCUUGAGUGGGCGAGAAGUAUGCGGAAUGCGUGGUGUAGCGGUGAAAUGCAUAGAUAUCACGCAGAACUCCGAUUGCGAAGGCAGCAUACCGGCGCCCAACUGACGCUGAAGCACGAAAGCGUGGGGAUCGAACAGGAUUAGAUACCCGAGUAGUC